UAACCUACAAUAUAAGACUGGAAUAACUCCGGGAAACCGGGGCUAAUGCCGGAUAAUAUUUAGAACCGCAUGGUUCUAAAGUGAAAGAUGGUUUUACUAUCACUUAUAGAUGGACCCGCGCCGUAUUAGCUAGUUGGUGGGGUAAUGGCUUACCAAGGCAACGAUACGUAGCCGACCUGAGAGGGUGAUCGGCCACACUGGAACUGAGACACGGUCCAGACUCCUACGGGAGGCAGCAGUAGGGAAUCUUCCGCAAUGGGCGAAAGCCUGACGGAGCAACGCCGCGUGAGUGAUGAAGGUCUUCGGAUCGUAAAACUCUGUUAUUAGGGAAGAACAAAUGUGUAAGUAACUGUGCACGUCUUGACGGUACCUAAUCAGAAAGCCACGGCUAACUACGUGCCAGCAGCCGCGGUAAUACGUAGGUGGCAAGCGUUAUCCGGAAUUAUUGGGCGUAAAGCGCGCGUAGGCGGUUUCUUAAGUCUGAUGUGAAAGCCCACGGCUCAACCGUGGAGGGUCAUUGGAAACUGGGAAACUUGAGUGCAGAAGAGGAAAGUGGAAUUCCAUGUGUAGCGGUGAAAUGCGCAGAGAUAUGGAGGAACACCAGUGGCGAAGGCGACUUUCUGGUCUGUAACUGACGCUGAUGUGCGAAAGCGUGGGGAUCAAACAGGAUUAGAUACCCUGGUAGUCCACGCCGUAAACGAUGAGUGCUAAGUGUUUAGGGGGUUUCCGCCCCUUAGUGCUGCAGCUAACGCAUUAAGCACUCCGCCCUGGGGAGUACGACCGCAAGGUUGAAACUCAAAGGAAUUGACGGGGACCCGCACAAGCGGUGGAGCAUGUGGUUUAAUUCGAAGCAACGCGAAGAACCUUACCAAAUCUUGACAUCCUUUGACAACUCUAGAGAUAGAGUCUUCCCCUUCGGGGGACAAAGUGACAGGUGGUGCAUGGUUGUCGUCAGCUCGUGUCGUGAGAUGUUGGGUUAAGUCCCGCAACGAGCGCAACCCUUAAGCUUAGUUGCCAGCAUUAAGUUGGGCACUCUAAGUUGACUGCCGGUGACAAACCGGAGGAAGGUGGGGAUGACGUCAAAUCAUCAUGCCCCUUAUGAUUUGGGCUACACACGUGCUACAAUGGACAAUACAAAGGGCAGCUAAACCGCGAGGUCAUGCAAAUCCCAUAAAGUUGUUCUCAGUUCGGAUUGUAGUCUGCAACUCGACUACAUGAAGCUGGAAUCGCUAGUAAUCGUAGAUCAGCAUGUUACGGUGAAUACGUUC
RNAcentral lists this ribosomal RNA (1268 nucleotides) under Staphylococcaceae bacterium 5_K_8. Its description in RNAcentral is "bacterial SSU rRNA". It matches the Rfam family "Bacterial small subunit ribosomal RNA", at positions 122 to 1373 of the family's 1533-position model. Lineage: Bacteria; Bacillati; Bacillota; Bacilli; Caryophanales; Staphylococcaceae. The record is from RNAcentral.